GACGAACGCUGGCGGCGUGCUUAACACCUGCAAGUCGAACGAAGUGGCGAACGGGUGAGUAAUACGUGGGUAACCUGCCCUCCUUUUUGGGAUAAGCAUUGGAAACGGUGUCUAAUACAGAAUAAAGGGGGAUGGGCUCGCGGCGUAUCAGCUUGUUGGUGGGGUGAUGGCCUACCAAGGCGGUGACGGGUAGCCGGCCGUAGAGGGUGACCGGCCACAUUGAGCUUAAUGUAUGUCCCAUACUCCUACGGGAGGGAGCAGUGGGGGAUGUUGCACAAUGGACGAAAGCCUGAUGCAGGUACGCCGCGUGGGGGAAGAAGGCCUUCGGGUUGGAAAGGUCUUUUGUUAGGAAAACGGUACCUAAAUAAUAAGCACCGGCUAACUACGUGCCAGCCGCCGCGGUAAUAC
Molecule: ribosomal RNA, 408 nt
Filed under: uncultured bacterium
Lineage: Bacteria
Description: partial 16S ribosomal RNA
Rfam family: Bacterial small subunit ribosomal RNA
Source: RNAcentral